CUGUCUUGUUUAAAAAUAUUCAAUAAAGUAAAAAAAAAAAAUAAUAAUAAUAAUAUAAAUCUGUUCUUAUCAGUUUAAUAGCUGUUACGUCCCCCAGCAGUAGACCACAAAUCAAGUGGAUUUUUAGAACAGGGAGUCGGCAAACGUGCUUGCACCUUCUGCUCCACUGUUACGUCCCUGGUCUAGGUUCAGGGACAUAGCAAAUGGUA
Molecule: small nuclear RNA, 209 nt
Gene: U2
Rfam family: U2 spliceosomal RNA
About the family: U2 is a small nuclear RNA (snRNA) component of the spliceosome (involved in pre-mRNA splicing). Complementary binding between U2 snRNA (in an area lying towards the 5' end but 3' to hairpin I) and the branchpoint sequence (BPS) of the intron results the bulging out of an unpaired adenosine, on the BPS, which initiates a nucleophilic attack at the intronic 5' splice site, thus starting the first of two transesterification reactions that mediate splicing.
Source: Ensembl